GACGGUGGCCAUGGAAGU
RNAcentral lists this non-coding RNA (18 nucleotides) under Xenopus tropicalis (tropical clawed frog). RNAcentral also lists the same sequence under 2 other names. The record is from RNAcentral. Lineage: Eukaryota; Metazoa; Chordata; Amphibia; Anura; Pipidae.